GGAGUGGUAGGUAAGUGGUUAAACUGUUAGUCUACUGAUCAGAAGGUCAUGAGUUCAAAUCCCUGUACUGCC
Molecule: non-coding RNA, 72 nt
Organism: Pangasianodon gigas (Mekong giant catfish)
Lineage: Eukaryota; Metazoa; Chordata; Actinopteri; Siluriformes; Pangasiidae
Source: the annotation of a GenBank genome assembly